CUGGACUGGAGGAGCCACACUGGAGACUGGACACUCUCAGGUCCUUUUCUCAGACAGUGAAAGAAUCCUGGAGACAGUUGACACAGUUGAGUUUCAGCCUGUUUCUCUGUCACACUGACAAACUGAGGAACACUGCUUCAUGUUGAACAGCAGUUAGGACUCAUGUUGGAUAGAAAAUCACUCUGACUGUGUUUCUUCCUCCAGGGUGGACCAUGGUGGAGAGCAGAGGUUAAAACCUGAUGUGAGGAAGUAUCUCUGUGAACUCACACUGGACACAAACACAGCACACAGAAACCUCAAACUGUCUGACAACAACAGGAAGGUGACACGGGUGAGAGAGGAGCAGCCAUAUC
Long non-coding RNA from Micropterus salmoides (largemouth bass), 353 nucleotides. RefSeq lists it as uncharacterized. The record is from RefSeq and is a predicted model, not a curated record. The transcript is spliced from 3 exons. NCBI's taxonomy places the organism in Eukaryota, Metazoa, Chordata, Actinopteri, Centrarchiformes, Centrarchidae.